This 554-nucleotide ribosomal RNA is filed under the name uncultured bacterium. Its description in RNAcentral is "bacterial SSU rRNA". It matches the Rfam family "Bacterial small subunit ribosomal RNA", at positions 345 to 912 of the family's 1533-position model. The record is from RNAcentral.
GAGGCAGCAGUGGGGAAUUUUCCGCAAUGGGCGAAAGCCUGACGGAGCAAUACCGCGUGAGGGAUGACGACCUAUGGGUUGUAAACCUCUUUUUUCAGGGAGGAAAAAAAUGACGUUACCUGAAGAAUAAGCAUCGGCUAACUCCGUGCCAGCAGCCGCGGUAAGACGGAGGAUGCAAGUGUUAUCCGGAAUCACUGGGCGUAAAGCGUCUGUAGGUGGUUUAAUAAGUCAACUGUUAAAUCUUGAGGCUCAACCUCGAAACCGCAGUCGAAACUAUUAGACUAGAGUAUAGUAGGGGUAAAGGGAAUUUCCAGUGGAGCGGUGAAAUGCGUAGAGAUUGGAAAGAACACCGAUGGCGAAGGCACUUUACUGGGCUAUUACUAACACUGAGAGACGAAAGCUAGGGUAGCAAAUGGGAUUAGAUACCCCAGUAGUCCUAGCUGUAAACAAUGGAUACUAGAUGUUGAACAGAUCGACCUGUGCAGUAUCAAAGCUAACGCGUUAAGUAUCCCGCCUGGGAAGUAUGCUCGCAAGAGUGAAACUCAAAGGAAUUG